UAAAAUAAUGGCUUAAAGAAGGAAUCAUAUUGCGCAAUAUAAGGUAUCAUAUUCCCUUCUCUUCAAUGGCAAGCAGCUUUGCAAUGAGAUCAUCCAUAGAGCUGUUGAAAGCUGUCAACUUCUUUGCUAUUGCAGUGUUGCCUAUGAUCCAAAGAGAGUGCUACUGCCUAUUGUUAUAAGAAGAACAUGGAAAAAUCCCCCUGCAAAUUGGUAUAAACUUAACUCCGAAGGUUCAUCCAUUGAAAACCCCAAGUGUCGGUGGAGCUGGGUUCUUAUUAGAGAGGAUGAAGGAACUGGGUUACUGGUUGCUUCAGGCACAUCCCACACAUUACUAGCAUCAAAGCAGCUUUGGGGCACGUAGAGAUGGUUUAAACCUUGCUGUCUCCCUUUACAUUAAAUCUUGUGGUGGAACUUGAUGCCAUGGCAGUCAGUAGCUUCAUUCAGCACAUGGUCAAGUAUGAGUAAGCUGAGGUUGUUAGGCUGUUGAUCAAGAAGUUAAUUAGUUGUUAGCUGGUUAAUAAUCAGUUGUACAGUUGUACUUCAACUGUAAAUACGUGUAUUGAUGCUAGUCAGGAAUAAGACUAAUACCAUUCUAUUUUCUCUAGUUUGUUUUCUUCUUCAGUUGCAUUUGUUCAUACCUUUUGAGUCUUUCAAGCAUGGUAUCAGAGCU
This 670-nucleotide long non-coding RNA is filed under the name Gossypium raimondii (Peruvian cotton). RNAcentral describes it as "long non-coding RNA (GRAI_LNC001702)". Lineage: Eukaryota; Viridiplantae; Streptophyta; Magnoliopsida; Malvales; Malvaceae. The record is from RNAcentral.